Molecule: ribosomal RNA, 497 nt
Filed under: uncultured bacterium
Lineage: Bacteria
Description: partial 16S ribosomal RNA
Rfam family: Bacterial small subunit ribosomal RNA
Source: RNAcentral
GAUGAACGCUGGCGGCGUGCCUAAUACAUGCAAGUCGAGCGAACAGACGAGGAGCUUGCUUCUCUGACGUUAGCGGCGGACGGGUGAGUAACACGUGGAUAACCUACCUAUAAGACUGGGAUAACUUCGGGAAACCGGAGCUAAUACCGGAUAAUAUAUUGAACCGCAUGGUUCAAUAGUGAAAGACGGUUUUGCUGUCACUUAUAGAUGGAUCCGCGCUGCAUUAGCUAGUUGGUAGGGUAACGGCUUACCAAGGCAACGAUGCGUAGCCGACCUGAGAGGGUGAUCGGCCACACUGGAACUGAGACACGGUCCAGACUCCUACGGGAGGCAGCAGUAGGGAAUCUUCCGCAAUGGGCGAAAGCCUGACGGAGCAACGCCGCGUGAGUGAUGAAGGUCUUCGGAUCGUAAAACUCUGUUAUUAGGGAAGAACAAAUGUGUAAGUAACUAUGCACGUCUUGACGGUACCUAAUCAGAAAGCCACGGCUAACUACGUG